This 363-nucleotide ribosomal RNA is filed under the name uncultured bacterium. RNAcentral describes it as "bacterial SSU rRNA". It matches the Rfam family "Bacterial small subunit ribosomal RNA", at positions 72 to 422 of the family's 1533-position model. The record is from RNAcentral.
AAGUCCCGCAAGGGGCAAGUAGAGUGGCAAACGGGUGAGUAACACGUGGGUGACCUGCCUUCGAGUGGGGGAUAACGUCCCGAAAGGGACGCUAAUACCGCAUGACAUCCUGUCUUUGGACAGACGGAGAUCAAAGCUGGGGAUCGCAAGACCUGGCGCUUGAAGAGGGGCCCGCGUCUGAUUAGCUAGUUGGUGAGGUAACGGCUCACCAAGGCAACGAUCAGUAUCCGGCCUGAGAGGGCGGACGGACACACUGGGACUGAGACACGGCCCAGACUCCUACGGGAGGCAGCAGUGGGGAAUUGUUCGCAAUGGGCGCAAGCCUGACGACGCAACGCCGCGUGGAGGAUGAAGAUCUUCGGG